RNAcentral lists this ribosomal RNA (497 nucleotides) under uncultured bacterium. RNAcentral's name for it is "partial 16S ribosomal RNA". It matches the Rfam family "Bacterial small subunit ribosomal RNA", at positions 28 to 507 of the family's 1533-position model. The record is from RNAcentral.
GAUGAACGCUGGCGGCGUGCCUAAUACAUGCAAGUCGAGCGAACAGAUGAGGAGCUUGCUCCUCUGACGUUGGCGGCGGACGGGUGAGUACCACGUGGAUAACCUAACUAUCAGACUGGGAUAACUUCGGGAAACCGGAGCUACUACCGGAUAAUAUAUUGAACCGCAUGGUUCAAUCGUUAAAGACGGUUUUGCUGUCACUUAUAGAUGGAUCCGGGCCGCAUUCGCUAGUUGGUAAGGUAACGGCUUAACAAGGCAACGAUGCGUAGCCGACCUGAGAGGGUGGACGGACAGAUGGGAUGAGAGACACGGCAGAGACACCGACAGUAGGCAGCAGUAGGGAAUCCUACGCGAGGGGGGAGAGCCGGACGGAGCAACGCGGGGGGAGGGAUGAUGGUUCUCGGCUGGGAAAACGCUGUUAUUAGGGAAGAACAAAUGUGUAAGUAACUAGGCAGGUCUUGACGGUACCGAAUCAGAAAGCCACGGCUAACUACGUG